AUCCCGGAUUAACUCGCUUAGCUGUUCUUCUGAUUCAUGGGAGGCCGAGAUUGAUGCUGGCAGUUUCGCUGAUAGCGCCUUCCUUCUUCCUGGAGGUGCUUCAUUAGUAACUAGCCACACAAAC
Molecule: small nucleolar RNA, 124 nt
Filed under: Leersia perrieri
Lineage: Eukaryota; Viridiplantae; Streptophyta; Magnoliopsida; Poales; Poaceae
Source: RNAcentral